AUCCAAAACGGCCAAAGCGACCCGCGAUCCGAAAAGAAGGGUGCUGCUGCUGACGGCGACAACAUCGAGGACGACCUGCUCGGCCUCUGCGAAGUGGACGAGUGUCCCAUC
This 111-nucleotide non-coding RNA is filed under the name uncultured eukaryote. The record is from RNAcentral.